UACGUAGGGUGCGAGCGUUAAUCGGAAUUACUGGGCGUAAAGCGUGCGCAGGCGGUUUUGCAAGCCGGAUGUGAAAUCCCCGGGCUCAACCUGGGAAUGGCAUUCGGGACUGCAAGGCUGGAGUGCGGCAGAGGAGACUGGAAUUCCUGGUGUAGCAGUGAAAUGCGUAGAUAUCAGGAGGAACACCGGUGGCGAAGGCGGGUCUCUGGGCCAAUACUGACGCUGAGGAGCGAAAGCGUGGGGAGCGAACAGG
RNAcentral lists this ribosomal RNA (253 nucleotides) under uncultured bacterium. Its description in RNAcentral is "partial 16S ribosomal RNA". It matches the Rfam family "Bacterial small subunit ribosomal RNA", at positions 524 to 776 of the family's 1533-position model. The record is from RNAcentral.